AGUGAACGCUGGCGGUAGGCCUAACACAUGCAAGUCGAACGGCAGCACAGAGGAGCUUGCUCCUUGGGUGGCGAGUGGCGGACGGGUGAGGAAUACAUCGGAAUCUACUCUGUCGUGGGGGAUAACGUAGGGAAACUUACGCUAAUACCGCAUACGACCUACGGGUGAAAGCAGGGGAUCUUCGGACCUUGCGCGAUUGAAUGAGCCGAUGUCGGAUUAGCUAGUUGGCGGGGUAAAGGCCCACCAAGGCGACGAUCCGUAGCUGGUCUGAGAGGAUGAUCAGCCACACUGGAACUGAGACACGGUCCAGACUCCUACGGGAGGCAGCAGUGGGGAAUAUUGGACAAUGGGCGCAAGCCUGAUCCAGCCAUACCGCGUGGGUGAAGAAGGCCUUCGGGUUGUAAAGCCCUUUUGUUGGGAAAGAAAUCCAGCCGGCUAAUACCUGGUUGGGAUGACGGUACCCAAAGAAUAAGCACCGGCUAACUUCGUGCCAGCAGCCGCGGUAAUACGAAGGGUGCAAGCGUUACUCGGA
RNAcentral lists this ribosomal RNA (532 nucleotides) under uncultured soil bacterium. RNAcentral describes it as "bacterial SSU rRNA". It matches the Rfam family "Bacterial small subunit ribosomal RNA", at positions 28 to 549 of the family's 1533-position model. The record is from RNAcentral.